This 509-nucleotide ribosomal RNA is filed under the name uncultured bacterium. Its description in RNAcentral is "bacterial SSU rRNA". It matches the Rfam family "Bacterial small subunit ribosomal RNA", at positions 19 to 518 of the family's 1533-position model. The record is from RNAcentral.
CUGGCUCAGGAGUGAACGCUAGCGACAGGCUUAACACAUGCAAGUCGAGGGGCAGCAUAAAAGUAGCAAUACUUGGUGGCGACCGGCGCACGGGUGAGUAACGCGUAUGCAACCUACCUAUCAGAGGGGAAUAACCCGGCGAAAGUCGGACUAAUACCGCAUAAAACAGGGGCACCGCAUGGUGAUAUUUGUUAAAGAAAUUCGCUGAUAGAUGGGCAUGCGUUCCAUUAGGUAGUUGGUGAGGUAACGGCUCACCAAGCCGACGAUGGAUAGGGGAACUGAGAGGUUGGUCCCCCACACUGGUACUGAGACACGGACCAGACUCCUACGGGAGGCAGCAGUGAGGAAUAUUGGUCAAUGGGCGGGAGCCUGAACCAGCCAAGUCGCGUGAAAGGAAGAAGGAUCUAUGGUUCGUAAACUUCUUUUGCAGGGGAAUAAAGUGCAGGACGUGUCCUGUUUUGUAUGUACCCUGACGAAUAAGGAUCGGCUAACUCCGUGCCAGCCGCUGC